GGAAUAUUGGUCAAUGGAGGCAACUCUGAACCAGCCAUGCCGCGUGCAGGAAGACUGCCCUAUGGGUUGUAAACUGCUUUUAUCUGGGAAUAAACCUCAUUACGUGUAAUGAGCUGAACGUACCAGAAGAAUAAGGAUCGGCUAACUCCGUGCCAGCAGCCGCGGUAAUACGGAGGAUCCAAGCGUUAUCCGGAUUUAUUGGGUUUAAAGGGUGCGUAGGCGGCCAAUUAAGUCAGAGGUGAAAGACGGUAGCUCAACUAUCGCAGUGCCUUUGAUACUGAUUGGCUUGAAUGAACUAGAGGUAGGCGGAAUGAGACAAGUAACGGUGAAAUGCAUAGAUAUGUCUCAGAACACCGAUUGCGAAGGCAGCUUACUAUGGUUCUACUGACGCUGAGAGACGAAAGCUAGGGGAGCGAAUGGGAUUAGAUACCCCAG
This 435-nucleotide ribosomal RNA is filed under the name uncultured Pedobacter sp. RNAcentral describes it as "bacterial SSU rRNA". It matches the Rfam family "Bacterial small subunit ribosomal RNA", at positions 358 to 790 of the family's 1533-position model. The record is from RNAcentral. Lineage: Bacteria; Pseudomonadati; Bacteroidota; Sphingobacteriia; Sphingobacteriales; Sphingobacteriaceae.